RNAcentral lists this ribosomal RNA (497 nucleotides) under uncultured bacterium. RNAcentral's name for it is "partial 16S ribosomal RNA". It matches the Rfam family "Bacterial small subunit ribosomal RNA", at positions 28 to 507 of the family's 1533-position model. The record is from RNAcentral.
GAUGAACGCUGGCGGCGUGCCUAAUACAUGCAAGUCGAGCGAACAGAUAAGGAGCUUGCUCCUUUGACGUUAGCGGCGGACGGGUGAGUAACACGUGGGUAACCUACCUAUAAGACUGGGAUAACUUCGGGAAACCGGAGCUAAUACCGGAUAACAUUUGGAACCGCAUGGUUCUAAAGUGAAAGAUGGUUUUGCUAUCACUUAUAGAUGGACCCGCGCCGUAUUAGCUAGUUGGUAAGGUAACGGCUUACCAAGGCGACGAUACGUAGCCGACCUGAGAGGGUGGUCGGCCACCCUGGAACUGAGACACGGUCCAGACUCCUACGGGAGGCAGCAGUAGGGAAUCUUCCGCAAUGGGCGAAAGCCUGACGGAGCACCGCCGCGUGAGUGAUGAAGGGUUUCGGCUCGUAAAACUCUGUUAUUAGGGAAGAACAAACGUGUAAGUAACUGUGCACGUCUUGACGGUACCUAAUCAGAAAGCCACGGCUAACUACGUG